This 675-nucleotide ribosomal RNA is filed under the name uncultured bacterium. RNAcentral's name for it is "bacterial SSU rRNA". It matches the Rfam family "Bacterial small subunit ribosomal RNA", at positions 636 to 1311 of the family's 1533-position model. The record is from RNAcentral.
UNUGACUUGAGUGCAGAAGGGGAGAGUGGAAUNCCAUGUGUAGCGGUGAAAUGCGUAGAUAUAUGGAGGAACACCAGUGGCGAAAGCGGCUCUCUGGUCUGUCACUGACGCUGAGGCUCGAAAGCGUGGGUAGCGAACAGGAUUAGAUACCCUGGUAGUNCACGCCGUAAACGAUGAGUGCUAGGUGUUAGGCCCUUUCCGGGGCUUAGUGCCGGAGCUAACGCAAUAAGCACUCCGCCUGGGGAGUACGACCGCAAGGUUGAAACUCAAAGGAAUUGACGGGGGCCCGCACAAGCGGUGGAGCAUGUGGUUUAAUUCGAAGCAACGCGAAGAACCUUACCAGGUCUUGACAUCCCGAUGCUAUUCUUAGAGAUAGGAAGUUACUUCGGUACAUCGGAGACAGGUGGUGCAUGGUUGUCGUCAGCUCGUGUCGUGAGAUGUUGGGUUAGGUCCCGCAACGAGCGCAACCCUUAUUGUUAGUUGCCAUCAUUAAGUUGGGUACUCUAGCGAGACUGCCGGUAAUAAACCGGAGGAAGGUGGGGAUGACGUCAAAUCAUCAUGCCCCUUAUGACCUGGGCUACACACGUGCUACAAUGGUCGGUACAACGAGUUGCGAGCCGGUGACGGCAAGCUAAUCUCUGAAAGCCGAUCUCAGUUCGGAUUGGAGGCUGCAAC